This is a long non-coding RNA of Sinocyclocheilus anshuiensis, 243 nucleotides long. RefSeq lists it as uncharacterized. Lineage: Eukaryota; Metazoa; Chordata; Actinopteri; Cypriniformes; Cyprinidae. The transcript is spliced from 3 exons. The record is from RefSeq and is a predicted model, not a curated record.
CAAAUGUUAUAGAAAAGUGUUGUGACGAGUCAGAAGCGUGUGGAUCCAUUUGCAGCUUUUAUUAGAAUAGUCAGACAAUACAAGGUCAAAUACUGGCAAGGUAGAACAGCAGAGACAAGGCUGAGACAGAGUCGAGUACCAGGCGAGAGAUCGGGGCAGGCGGCAAGCAAUCAGAGUCCAGGGGAAACAAUCCAAUAACAGAUGCACAGAAAAUCAAACACGGGUAUAAAGCUCGGAAAUGAC